RNAcentral lists this transfer RNA (73 nucleotides) under Candidatus Parendomicrobium porotermitis. RNAcentral's name for it is "tRNA-Thr". It matches the Rfam family "tRNA". From Rfam's summary of the family: Transfer RNA (tRNA) molecules are approximately 80 nucleotides in length. Their secondary structure includes four short double-helical elements and three loops (D, anti-codon, and T loops). Further hydrogen bonds mediate the characteristic L-shaped molecular structure. tRNAs have two regions of fundamental functional importance: the anti-codon, which is responsible for specific mRNA codon recognition, and the 3' end, to which the tRNAs corresponding amino acid is attached (by aminoacyl-tRNA synthetases). tRNAs cope with the degeneracy of the genetic code in two manners: having more than one tRNA (with a specific anti-codon) for a particular amino acid; and 'wobble' base-pairing, i.e. permitting non-standard base-pairing at the 3rd anti-codon position. Lineage: Bacteria; Pseudomonadati; Elusimicrobiota; Endomicrobiia; Endomicrobiales; Endomicrobiaceae. The record is from RNAcentral.
GCCGAUGUAGCUCAGCUGGUAGAGCAGCUGCUUCGUAAGCAGCGGGUCGGAGGUUCGAAUCCUCUCAUCGGCU